CCAGGGUGUGCCAAAUACACCUGUUAGCAGGGGCCGGGCAAGACCGGUGCCAGCCGCCGCGUUAACACCGGCGGCCCGAGUGGUGAUCGUGAUUAUUGGGUCUAAAGGGUCCGUAGCCGGUUUGGUCAGUCCUCCGGGAAAUCUGACAGCUCAACUGUUAGGCUUUCGGAGGAUACUGCCAGACUUGGAACCGGGAGAGGUAAGAGGUACUACAGGGGUAGGAGUGAAAUCUUGUAAUCCCUGUGAGACCACCUGUGGCGAAGGCGUCUUACCAGAACGGGUUCGACGGUGAGGGACGAAAGCUGGGGGCACGAACCGGAUUAGAUACCCGGGUAGUCCCAGCCGUAAACGAUGCUCGCUAGGUGUCAGGCAUGGCGCGACCGUGUCUGGUGCCGCAGGGAAGCCGUGAAGCGAGCCACCUGGGAAGUACGGCCGCAAGGCUGAAACUUAAAGGAAUUGGCGGGGGAGCACAACAACGGGUGGAGCCUGCGGUUCAAUUGGACUCAACGCCGGACAACUCACCGGGGGCGACAGCAAUAUGUAGGCCAGGCUGAAGACCUUGCCUGAAUCGCUGAGAGGAGGUGCAUGGCCGUCGCCAGUUCGUACUGUGAAGCAU
RNAcentral lists this ribosomal RNA (616 nucleotides) under uncultured Methanosarcinaceae archaeon. RNAcentral's name for it is "bacterial SSU rRNA". It matches the Rfam family "Archaeal small subunit ribosomal RNA", at positions 408 to 1024 of the family's 1478-position model. The record is from RNAcentral. Lineage: Archaea; Methanobacteriati; Methanobacteriota; Methanomicrobia; Methanosarcinales; Methanosarcinaceae.